Long non-coding RNA from Talpa occidentalis (Iberian mole), 611 nucleotides. RefSeq lists it as uncharacterized. The transcript has 4 exons. Lineage: Eukaryota; Metazoa; Chordata; Mammalia; Eulipotyphla; Talpidae. The record is from RefSeq and is a predicted model, not a curated record.
AGUAAUCCACGUCCAUCCCAUCCCAUCCCAUCCCAUCCCACCUUGCCAUUCCCCAGACCUCUUUGAAAACAAAUCCAAAACCCACCUUGAAAAAGGUUUCUACCUAACAUAAAACCAGCUCAUCCUGGUAUACCUGAAGAUUUCCUGCUCCUCAACUGAGCCAAUAAAACAUCUCCCCUUCAUUGAUGCUACAGAUGUGGGAAGAAAAACAUGUACUUCAGUUGAAAUCCAUGGCUGCUAUUACAUAUCUGUCCGGAUAAUCUAAUUUUAACUUUUCAUCAUCUGUCAACUAUGUUAUAAGGUGUUGUUUUUCCACUUUCGCUAUUGUUCUGCAGAAAUGACAAGAAGCACCAAUGAAGGAAAAUACGAGGGACCUUCGGUGCCAAGACUGUAGAUCAUUACAGCAGAUCUCGGAAACCUGUUGGGCAGACAAGGGCCUUGCGUGUGCAAGAUGAGGUCCAGCGACAUCAUGAAGUCACUUCCACUGCAGAGUACCUGGAUGCAUAACGGCAACAUCCACCAGACAGAAAGGAGCACAUGGGGCACCGGAGACACAUCUGCCAUCCCAAAUUAAACAUUUAGAAAUAUUGGGGCCUCCCCUGGUGGUGCAG